This is a non-coding RNA of Pelobates cultripes (western spadefoot toad), 2553 nucleotides long. The record is from the annotation of a GenBank genome assembly. Lineage: Eukaryota; Metazoa; Chordata; Amphibia; Anura; Pelobatidae.
GUUACCACGGCAACACUGUAAUCAGAGCUUGCAAGAACUUGGCGGAGCUGCAGACCUGUAGAGCCAGCCCACCAGACCACCAGGGAAUUGUGAGCACUGAAAAACAAGGUAUGUACCCUGCCCCCCACUGUCACCCUGUUAUUGUCACCCUCACACCCUGCCCCCCCACUGUCACCCUGUUAUUGUCACCCUCACAUCCUGCCCCCAUACUGUCAUCACAUCCUGCCACCCACUACUGACACCCUCACAUCCUGCCCCCAUACUGUCAUCACAUCCUGCCACCCACUACGGUCACCCUUACAUCCUGCCCCCCACACUGUCACCACCACACCCAGCCCCCAUAGCCUUCGUACACACUGUUCCCCCACAAUGUCCUCUUCCUACACAUUGUUCUGCCAUUCCAGCCCAGAGGUAAGAGGCAGGAAGGGGGAUAAUCCCAAAUCAAUAUAAACUGCUCACGCCCACCAGCAUUUCACCAACUCUUCACACACACUACAUGCACUACACAGACACUACUUAAUACACAGACACUACACAGACACUGCCUCCACCACACACACCCUACAUCCACUACACAUACUCCCUCCAUUAUGCACACACAGGCAAUAUAUUCAAUACACACAUUGCAUACAAUACACACUAUAUCCAUGACAUAAUUACAGACGCAGCAUCCAUGACAAACAGACACUGCAUCCACUAAACAAACACACGCUGCCUCCAGUAUACACACACACACAUACAAUAUAAUCAAUAUACACACUGCAUACAAUACACACUACAUCCAUAACACAAUAACAGACACAGCAUCUACAACACACAGACGCAGCAUCCAAGACACACAAAUGCAGCAUCCACGAAACACAGACACUGCAUUCACUGAAGCCACACACACACACACUGCAUCCACUACAUACCAAAUAUGAUAUACACAUUGCAUCCACUACACAAACAGACAUUGCAUUCACUACACACACUGCAUAACAUAAUGGAUGUUGGCGUACUUUUGGUGCAAGGCGGGGGUGGGGGACAGCAUUUCAUCCUUGGACCCAGACAGCACAAUGGCUUGAGCUGGCCCUGGUCCUAAAUUAUUUUUGCUAAUCUGGACUGGGAGAAUUCAAACUCUAUUUGGAUUGAGUUAAGUUUUUUAACACUAGGGUGGAAAGAGUAUUAUAGUUAGUCAGGGCCGGAUUAACAUAGGGGCUGAUGGAGCUGCAGCUACAGGCACAGGCCCAGGCCCAUGGAAUAGGCGCAUUUAACCCUUUAAGGACCAAACUUCUCGAAUAAAAGGGAAUCAUGACAUGUCACGCUGGAUUCAGGUAAGUGGCCGAAGGGGUUUUAACCCCCUCAGCAACAAGGGAUGGGGGCAAGAGAGAGGGGGGCACUCCAGGAUUCUCUAGUACCAGGGAAAUGGGCUUGUUUCCCUGGCACUAGAGAGUCCCUUUAAUGAAGCAGUUUUUGUGUUUUUAUUCAGCAGUUUCACUGCUCAAUUCAUUGCCAUUUCGGAGUUAAAUCACUUUUGUCUUUUGUUAUGCAGGCGUAUAAUUAGCUUAGUAUAUUAUCACUUAAGGUUGUUUUUUUUGUUUUUUUAACUAAACAUUGAAUUGCAAAAUGUAGGCAUAUAUAUUUUUUGAAUUGUAAAAAAUCUCCAAAUUUGCUAUAGUCACAGUUUGACUAUUAUCAUUUUUUAUACAUUUACCACAAUUCUUUUUUUGUGAUUACAUUAUUAGUUAGUAUUUAUUAGUUAGUUACUCAGUUUUUAAUUCGCUCUCUAGCUUGGUUAAUGGAAAGGCAAGAAAGCACACAAGACUUCCCUUCUUCUAACUUUUUGAACUCUGCAUCAGAUUGCUUACAUUUACCCCACAUAUACUGAAAACAUUAGAGAAUUAUUUGAGAUUGGCAUUUUAAAGCCCUCUGUGUCAUGACAUAAAAAAAAUUAAUUAUAGCUAGUAAUGACAAAUGUAAUCGCAGAGGAAUCUGAGGUUGCUGAAUUUUAUUCCUUAAUUCUUGAUAUAAUUGCGGUUAAUUGUAACAAAGUGUGACUGCAUGUGAUUGGUGAAUAGGAUUAAAACCAAAUGUAUGCCCUGCAGCUAAAGGAUACUGACCCUCACCAAUGGAAACUGGAAAUAAACACUACAGCUGCUUUAAAAAGACAUUCUGGAUGCAUUUCAGAUCUCUAAAACUAAUUCUAGUAUUGAUGGACUACAGCAGGAACAGAGGAUGUACGCGGUGUCCUGCUCUGUGGGAUCAGCUCCAAUCUGCUCCUAAUGCGUCUUCAAAGGAUGGAGAACAUGGGCAAAAGAGACUCAUCUUCAUUACGCAGCUUCAAAGUGAAGGGGACUGCAGAGGGUGAGGAGUCACGGAAUGUUCAGACAGCAACGUCUCAUUGUGUAAUAUGGAAAGUUACAGUUGCACUACGUGGUUUUACUAAAACAAUAGAUUCUGCUUUGAAAUGCUGGGACUUAGACUCAAUUAUGCAGAAUCUUUAUUUUCAGCUGUUGCCCAUUAGGUAGGACUGGUAAACAUUUCAGCUGAUCCAUCCAAGUUCGAGUUUGG